Cyprinus carpio carpio is the source of this 622-nucleotide long non-coding RNA. NCBI's taxonomy places the organism in Eukaryota, Metazoa, Chordata, Actinopteri, Cypriniformes, Cyprinidae. The record is from Ensembl.
CAUGUUGUUAGGCAGUCGCUAGGGUGUUUGUCCCCUCAUGUCGUUAGGCAGUCGCUAGGGUGUCCCGGAUGUUUUUCCCCCCUCAUGUUGUUAGGCAGUCGCUAGGGUGUUUGUCCCCUCAUGUUGUUAGGCAGUCGCUAGGGUGUUUGUCCCCUCAUGUUGUUAGGCAGUCGCUAGGGUGUUCCGGGUGUUUUUUUCCCCCCUCAUGUCGUUAGGCAGUCGCUAGGGUGUUCCAGGUGUUUUUCCCCCUUAUGUUGUUAGGCAGUUGCUAGGGUGUUCCAGUUUUUUUGGUUUGUUUUUAUACCAUGUAGUUAGGCAGUCGCUAGGGUAUUCCGGGUGUUUGCUUACCAUGUUGUUAGGCAGUUGCUAGGGUGUUCCGGGUGUUUGUUUACCAUGUUGUUAGUCAGUUGCCAGCGUGUUCCGGGUGUUCUUUCCCCUCAUGUUGUUAGGCAGUCGCUAGGGUGUUCCGGGUGUUUUUUUGUUUGUUUUUUUACCAUGUUGUUAGGCAGUCGCUGGUGUGGACAAUGGACAAUUUUUUUUUUUUUUUUACCAUGCCGUUAGGCGGUUGUAAGUGUGUUCAGGGUGUUUCUUUUACUAUGUUGUUAGGCAGUUACUAGGGUGU